UCAUUCACAGCUUCUCCUUCACGCUUUCUCAUUUGACAACCCUAAUUCUAGAACCUGCCGCUGCAAUUCUUCUUGCCUUUAACCUCACGCUGUAACGGUGGAACAUUAAGAACCUGCAAAAGCUUCAUAUCUUUGGAUCCCAAAACCAUCGAUUUGUCUCAACCAAGUUCUUUUCAUGUUUGCUAGAUGUUUUUCAAAUCACAGGUUUUGUUUGAUUAGGUUGAUUCGAUUUCAUCUUUGUCACACUACGGUUAAGCAUUUUUUAUCAAGAUGGAGAAGCUUCUUGAAUGGACUGACAUACCGAAUUGAUGGAAACGCUGUAGAAUCGGAUCAACCUCCAUUGAUUGGAAUUUUGUUUUUCUAUCCUCUGUCUUGCCCAAAUAAAGAUUAGCUUUUCUUCUUCUUCUUUUUUUUCCAACCAAGUUAUGUGUAUACAUCAUCCAGCAAAUGUUUUUUUUUUAAUUUCUCCACUUGUGCUUUUCUUGCGCUUAGUGGAAAAAGCGUUUUACUGCGCCUCGAGCCUAGGCGCGCCUCAGGCGCGCUUUUUAUAACCCAGGUUACAUGUACCACCAUAAUUUCUGCUGAACCCUAAAACCCACCAUCGCAAAUUUGCUUUGUCUGUUCUUGAUCGAUUCCUCUUUGAUAAUCGAAGAAGGUCAAGAAGAAGAGGAAUUAUUUUCUGCAGUGAGAAGUGCUUAUGAUCAGAAGGGUUCAACUACGAUUGAUAACACAAAUAUGUUAAAGGAACAAUUUAACUCAAUACAGACCUUAUGUCUCCAUAGUGGUGGGAUGUGAAGGAAGUAGGAUGUAACUCAGCGAUGGGAAGAUGACGACGUGAAUGAUGAUUUGUCUUUUUAGUUAAGGAGGGAACUGGAAAGGGAUGUUGAGAAGAAGUGAAAUAUGUAGCUCAAUCGUCUAUGGUUGCUGCAGAUAAAAGCUUUAAAUCUGCGCACUUGAUUUCUGGAAGCCAUUUAUUGUUGAUGACUUUUAGAUUCACCGUUUGUCUCUUUAUUUCCAUGUCCAACGUGACCCGUGGAGGAUAUUUGGCCAACUAUUCCGUAUCGCCUCAUGUUAUUAUGUAGGCGUAUUGGUGUUGAUUUCUCAUUUGGCUCAAAGAAUCUUUAAAUCUGCGCACUUGAUAUUCUGACCCCAACUCACAUAUCUUUCUAUAGGCUGUUAAGUAUUAUAGAACAUGUUAGGGCUUAUUUUUUCUAUACUAGGUAUGGUUGAUCAGAUGUGAAGACAAAAUAAUCAGAUUUGAAGGCUACUGAGUAUUAUAGAAUAUGUCGGGGCUUAUUUUUUCUCUCCUAGGUGUGGUAACUGUGAAGAGAAAAAAAUCAAAUGUGAAGGCAUGAUACAAAUGGGCUAAGCCCGGCUGUUUGGGUAACUAUCAAAACGGGUUCAGGUUGAGUAAGAUAACAUUUUGUUAUGCAGUUACAUAAUAAAUCAGAUUGCUUUGGGUUAGGCUGAUCUCGAACAUUUAUAUAUCCUAGGUUUGAAAUUUUACUUUUGGUGACUUCUAAUGUGUUUGACCCGUUUGGCCAUUUCCCUUUUUGAAGUUUUUUUUUUACAUGGGAGAUUUAGCCAGCAACCAACUUAGCAUACUAUAGUUGGUUUCAUAUUGUUCUUGUGGUGUUCUAGCUGGUUUGGUUGGCGGCUUACUUGGUUUAGGUGGCGGUUUUGUCAUGGGCCCACUCUUUGGAGCUUGGUGUACCUCCUCAGGGAAGUGGCUAAGGAAGUGGAACUAAUGGUAAAACGUUUUCUAUUCUUGAUAUCCCUAUGGGUGUUAAAUGCUCUAAUUUAGUUGUUACCCAAUCUGAUUUAUAUCCUCAUGAUCCGUUCAAUGACGAUGUUUUUACAUGCAUUACAAAUUCUCAAAAUACCAUUGACCUGAGUCGUAUAUUACCAGAGUGGUGUAAACUCAAUGCUUCAGAGUAUGCGAAUAAAUAUUAUGGGAUUACGAAGAACCAAAAACAGGCAUCAUAGACUGCCUUUGUAGUGAUGGGAAGGCGGUUGGAGUGAAAGAUCAAGAUGAUCGGUUGAGGGUGAACGGAGUUUUUUUUUAGACAAAUUUGCCGAGCUAGAUCUGAAUCCAAACUUCUGCAUGGAAGAUGUGAGUGAGGACGAAGUGGCUCGGCUCAAUCCCUUAUGCACCAGAUGAAAACUUGGUAAAUACUUCUACCCGGUAGUUAACAAAAUCCCCCCAAAAAAAACUAAUUUUAUCAUUAAUUUCUUCAUUAUUAUUUUCUUUGGCGGGUUCGGUUUGGUCAUUAGUUCUGCGUUAUUUUCUUUGGUUUCUUGCGGGUAAUAAACUUCUCAUCUUCAGAAAUUAUUUAGUGCUAAAUUUCGGUGUUGUUGGUAAAUUGUUGGAAAAUUCUAGCAUGGUUUUUUUUUUUUUUUUUUUUUUUUUUUUUUGAACGGCAAAUUUGGAUCACUGACGGACCACUGAAGUAUCAUCGUGCCACCAGAGGAACCACCCAAUCAUAUCCAUCUCCACUAGACUCAGGUCUAGAAUUUUUUUAGGAGCUGGAGUGGUUUAAAUUUGGGGAUUAAUGUGUCAAAUCAAGGUUUGUAUAUAUUUUUUAGUAGUUGCUUGGUUGUGGGGUAAUAAGGCUAAUUUGUAGGCUUUAAAUACGAUUCAUGGAUUAAACCUGUUAAGCUUCUUUAAGCUUUUAUUUUGGCAGCCCAUCAUAGGCCCAAUAGGUAUGGGCUUCUUAUGCUCAUACAUGGAGCUUUUCAUUGUAGUAAACCAGGUAUUUUAUUUUCCUUAAAAUUUUUUGAUCUUUUCCUGUUUGAAUGUUAAUUUAUACUUAUAAAUUCUGAUAUUAAAUUAUUGUGUUUUUGCUUCUACUUCUGAUUGGUUGAUUAAAAAAGGUAAAUAGAUCAAAUUAAAGCCUAAUCUGUAGGUUAAUAAUAAUAAUAAUAACAACAACAACAACAACAUGGUUACUUUUCUUAAUUAGAUUUAUUUGGGAAGUCUAGAGUUUCAUGAAGUAACUUGGUGCGUUUUUGUCCCAAUAUCUCAACAAGCUUAGUAUCGACACCAAAGUUUAUAUUAUAUAGUAUCGACACUAAAGUUUAUAUUAUAUAUUUAAACACUUAUAAUUUGGUUGGUUUUUUUGUAGAGGGAACUCAAUUUACUAAGGGAAAUGUUUUUGUAACUCGAAGGAUAUGCAUCUUCAAAGGGACUCGAGUACUCGACUGUCUUUAAAUUGUAUAUCACUUUAUCACUAAUUUAUGUAACAUGGGACUUUGUAUUUUAUUUUAUUUAUACAUUUGAUAUUUAUCUUAA
Molecule: long non-coding RNA, 3292 nt
Organism: Helianthus annuus (common sunflower)
Lineage: Eukaryota; Viridiplantae; Streptophyta; Magnoliopsida; Asterales; Asteraceae
Exons: 11
Source: RefSeq, a predicted model, not a curated record